Molecule: unclassified non-coding RNA, 400 nt
Filed under: soil metagenome
Description: partial contains 5.8S ribosomal RNA, internal transcribed spacer 2, and large subunit ribosomal RNA
Rfam family: 5.8S ribosomal RNA (bases 1-122)
Source: RNAcentral
GAUGAAGAACGUAGCGAAAUGCGAUACUUGGUGUGAAUUGCAGAAUCCCGUGAACCAUCGAGUCUUUGAACGCAAGUUGCGCCUCAAGCCAUUAGGUUGAGGGCACGUCUGCCUGGGCGUCACAUAUCGUUGCCUGAUGCCAGUUUCCUCGUGAUGGGUGACUGUGCAGGGCGAAUGAUGGCUUCCCGUGAGCAUUGUUGCCUCAUGGUUGGUUGAAAAUUGAGUCCUUGGUAGGGAGCGCUGUGAUAGAUGGUGGUUGAGUGACGAACGAGACCCAAUCAUGUGAGACCCCUACCGAAUUUGGCCUUCAUGACCCACAUGCGUCUUUGGAACGCUCAUGACGAGACCUCAGGUCAGGCGGGGCUACCCGCUGAGUUCAAGCAUAUCAAUAAGCGGAGGA